UACAGAGGUCUCAAGCGUUGUUCGGAUUUAUUGGGCGUAAAGGGUGCGUAGGCGGCAUGGUAAGUCGGAUGUGAAAUCCCGGGGCUCAACCCCGGAACUGCAUUCGAUACUGCUGCGCUAGAGUACUGGAGAGGAGAUUGGAAUUUACGGUGUAGCAGUGAAAUGCGUAGAUAUCGUAAGGAACACCAGUGGCGAAGGCGGAUCUCUGGACAGUUACUGACACUGAGGCACGAAGGCCAGGGGAGCAAACGGG
RNAcentral lists this ribosomal RNA (253 nucleotides) under uncultured bacterium. RNAcentral's name for it is "partial 16S ribosomal RNA". It matches the Rfam family "Bacterial small subunit ribosomal RNA", at positions 524 to 776 of the family's 1533-position model. The record is from RNAcentral.